Molecule: unclassified non-coding RNA, 349 nt
Filed under: soil metagenome
Description: partial contains 5.8S ribosomal RNA, internal transcribed spacer 2, and large subunit ribosomal RNA
Rfam family: 5.8S ribosomal RNA (bases 1-120)
Source: RNAcentral
GAUGAAGAACGCAGCGAAAUGCGAUAAGUAGUGUGAAUUGCAGAAUUCAGUGAAUCAUCGAAUCUUUGAACGCACAUUGCGCCCGCCAGUAUUCUGGCGGGCAUGCCUGUCCGAGCGUCAUUUCAACCCUCGCGCCCAUCUGGGCUGCGGUGUUGGGGACCGGCCUGCCCCCCCGGGGCGCGCCGCCCCCCAAAUUCAGUGGCGGUCUCGCUGCAGCCUCCCUUGCGUAGUAGCACACCUCGCACCGGAGCGCAGCGCGGCCACGCCGUAAAACCCCCGACCCCCAUGAGUUUGACCUCGGAUCAGGUAGGAAUACCCGAUGAACUUAAGCAUAUCAAUAAGCGGAGGA